Molecule: non-coding RNA, 29 nt
Filed under: Rattus norvegicus (Norway rat)
Lineage: Eukaryota; Metazoa; Chordata; Mammalia; Rodentia; Muridae
Source: RNAcentral
UAGCAACAACCUAGAUGUCCCUCAACUGA